This 230-nucleotide ribosomal RNA is filed under the name uncultured soil bacterium. Its description in RNAcentral is "partial 16S ribosomal RNA". It matches the Rfam family "Bacterial small subunit ribosomal RNA", at positions 71 to 526 of the family's 1533-position model. The record is from RNAcentral.
GCCCGCCGCGCGCGGCGGGCGGGGCGGGGGCACGGGGGGCCUACGGAGGCAGCAGUGAGGAAUAUUGGUCAAUGGACGAGAGUCUGAACCAGCCAAGUAGCGUGCAGGAUGACGGCCCUAUGGGUUGUAAACUGCUUUUAUACAGGGAUAAAGUAGGGAACGUGUUCCCUUUUGCAGGUACUGUAUGAAUAAGGACCGGCUAAUUCCGUGCCAGCAGCCGCGGUAAUAAU